Long non-coding RNA from Magnolia sinica, 723 nucleotides. RefSeq lists it as uncharacterized. The record is from RefSeq and is a predicted model, not a curated record. The transcript is spliced from 2 exons. NCBI's taxonomy places the organism in Eukaryota, Viridiplantae, Streptophyta, Magnoliopsida, Magnoliales, Magnoliaceae.
UACUGGUUUUCAGGUGCUGUAGUGUUUGAUUUUUAUUUUUAUUUUUUUGAAAGAUGCAUGACUCUUCUGCUUCCUGAUGUUACCUUUAUUGCUGAAUCUUCUUUUAUGUGAUCAGGAGUAUUAAAAAGUCUGAGGAAGAUAUACCUGUACCACCCCUCUUGAAAAGUGCAGCACUUUGGGGCGUCUUUCUCGCAGUUUCAUCCAACACUCGCUAUCAAAUUGUCAAUGGAUUGGAAUGCCUGGUAGAAUCUUCGCCUGUGGCGAAAAGGGUUCCACCAGUUGCAUUGGCUUUCACCAUCGGUGUGCGUUUUGCCAACAAUAUCUAUGGAGGUAUGCAAUUUGUGGACUGGGCUAGGUGGAGCGGCGUACAGUAGAAGUAUGAUAUCUAUCUUAUACAUGAAAGUAGAGAUGUACCAUUCAAUUGAAAUGGAAAUGAUUUUGAUCUUCAUCUCAAAAGCUUCUCAACUAAAUUACAGGAAAGUCAUCCAUUGUCUGCAUUUACAGCAUAACCAUAAACAAGCUAUUUCAUGGCAAUGGCGAAAAGAUAGAGAGGAAAUUUCUAUAAGAGAAGAAAGAAAUGUUGUUGUAAGGUCACGAGGGCUAACCUCCUGCAUGGGUUUUUAUCAAGUGUAUAUUAACUAAAAGAGAUGCUGGAUCCAAUACAAACGUUUCUACAAUAAGCUUAGCUUAAAAUGUGUUGCCUACUGUGAUGUGCUAAUGGCA